UAUUGGCAGAUGGAUCUUUACUGGGACAUGAUUAAAAAUGAACAGUAUAAAAUCCCAGCACUCCCUCUCUUUCUUUCCUGUGUUCCAUCAAAGUACAAGCAGUUGUGCACUAAGAACACUUCAAAUGCAAUGACAACAACCACAAAGGCAACUUUCUGUCCAGUGUUUGUGUUGAUAAGAGAUUUUAUUGGUGUGACUGUGGUUUAUAUCACUAACACUUAACCAAUUGUUAUGUUCUCUGCCCUUUGAACUGAGCAGGAGCGAGUGUUGCUGCUUUGGGCAUAUUUUGAUUCUUUUAAAGCUCCACUGGAUUCUGUCUUACAGACCUUCUGGACUCAGAGCUGCUCAGAAGCCCCCUGUACUCUCAGGCAUUUUUUCAGCUGGAAGUCACAUUUCCCUGUGUUAUCAACCAUAUAAAACCAUCUAAUGUGUCACGGGUGACAGCGGGUCUGUCAGCACCUUGGCACAUACUGACGAAGCAAUAGAUGUUGACCAGAUCAAAGUAUACCCCUGAGAUGGACUGAAAAGAGAGGACUGAAAACGGAGGCCCUGAUCCUGACAACAUACUGAUGCAUCCUGAAGAAGCUGUCCCGUGGGAACAGAGAACACUGUCUCAUGAAAACAAGAGCACUGUCUCAUGAGAACAAGGACCUGUUUUGAACGAGAGUAGUUGGGAAGAACAUCAACAUGAGAGAAAAAUAAGAACAGGUGCUCGGGACUGUUGUGGGAAAGAACUGGGCUGUUUUGAGAAAGAGCAAAGUUGUUGUGAGAAAGUAGAGUUUAGAAAAUGCACCUAUUAGCUGUAAGAA
Lepidothrix coronata (blue-crowned manakin) is the source of this 809-nucleotide long non-coding RNA. RefSeq lists it as uncharacterized. Lineage: Eukaryota; Metazoa; Chordata; Aves; Passeriformes; Pipridae. The record is from RefSeq and is a predicted model, not a curated record. The transcript has 2 exons.